GAACGAAUUGAUAAACCUGUAUCUAAUACGGUUUCAAAUGUCGAGCGUAAUAAAAUUUAAGGAUGCCCAUCGGAAACUGUUCCAAUCCGAAGAACUUCAAAGGAAGAGUUGAUAAACGCAAAAUAUCUCAACAAUUGGAUAAAGCCUCGACAUUAUGUGUCAGCUAAAACUUUUGCCGAGAAAGCGUACUAUGGAGGUAAAGCUUCAAUCACAUAUGUAAAUCCAAGAGUAGACCUGGACCAGUUUAGCACUGUUCAAAUUUGGAUACAAAAUGGUCCAACUAAAGAACUGAAUAGUAUAGAAUUUGGAUGAGUUGUAUACCCUCAGUUAUUUGGUGACAAUCUUACUCGAGUUUUUGGUUUGUGGACGGCUGAUGGAUUUAAAAAUACAGGAUGCUAUAACAUGUUUUGCCCAGGAUUUGUGCAAGUCCACCCUGAUUACACUUUUGGAGAAUAUAUUAAAGCAGAACCAUAUGGCGAGAAACCCACUUGGUUUGAUUUUUCAGUGUAUCGAGACCUAGAAAGUGGCAACUGGUGGUUUAAUGGCUUUGAAAACACAGAGAUCGGAUACUGGCCGAAAGAUAUCUUUACCCAUUUAGAAAAAUAAUGCAUCUACAGUUAGAUUUGGAGGGGUUGCUGGAGGAGAUCCUGGUAAGCCCACUCCGCCUAUGGGACAUGGAUAUUUACCAGAUUA
Molecule: long non-coding RNA, 693 nt
Organism: Papaver somniferum (opium poppy)
Lineage: Eukaryota; Viridiplantae; Streptophyta; Magnoliopsida; Ranunculales; Papaveraceae
Exons: 4
Source: RefSeq, a predicted model, not a curated record